RNAcentral lists this unclassified non-coding RNA (319 nucleotides) under plant metagenome. Its description in RNAcentral is "partial contains 5.8S ribosomal RNA, internal transcribed spacer 2, and large subunit ribosomal RNA". The stretch from base 1 to 105 matches the Rfam family "5.8S ribosomal RNA", at positions 50 to 154 of the family's 154-position model. The record is from RNAcentral.
GAAAUGCGAUAAGUAAUGUGAAUUGCAGAAUUCAGUGAAUCAUCGAAUCUUUGAACGCACAUUGCGCCCGCCAGUAUUCUGGCGGGCAUGCCUGUUCGAGCGUCAUUACAACCCUCAGGCCCCCGGGCCUGGCGUUGGGGAUCGGCGGAAGCCCCCUGCGGGCACAACGCCGUCCCCCAAAUACAGUGGCGGUCCCGCCGCAGCUUCCAUUGCGUAGUAGCUAACACCUCGCAACUGGAGAGCGGCGCGGCCACGCCGUAAAACACCCAACUUCCGAAUGUUGACCUCGAAUCAGGUAGGAAUACCCGCUGAACUGAAG